CUCGGUGACCAAGCGGAGGGGACCCACCCGUUCCCAUUCCGAACACGGAAGUUAAGCCCUCCCGCGCCGACAAUACUUGACGGGAAACUGUCCGGGAAGAUAGGUCGUUGCCGGGG
Molecule: ribosomal RNA, 116 nt
Filed under: Chloroflexota bacterium
Lineage: Bacteria; Bacillati; Chloroflexota
Source: RNAcentral